CCUACGGGCGGCAGCAGUAGGGAAUAUUGCUCAAUGGGGGAAACCCUGAAGCAGCAACGCCGCGUGGAGGAUGAAGGUUUUAGGAUUGUUAACUCCUUUUGUUAGAGAAGAUAAUGACGGUAUCUAACGACUACUUACCGGCUAACUCCGUUCCAGCAGCCGCGGUAAUACGGCGGGUGCAAGCGUUACUCGGAAUCACUGGGCGUAAAGCGGGCGUAGGCGGGAUAGCAAGUCAGAUGUGAAAUGCUAUGGCUUAACCAUAGAACUGCAUUUGAAACUGUUAGUCUAGAGUAUGGGUGGGGUAGGUGGAAUUUUUGGUGUAGGGGUAAAAUCCGUAGAGAGCAAGAGGAAUACUGAUUGCGAAGGCGACCUACUAGAACAUAACUGACGCUGAGGCGCGAAAGCGUGGGGAGCAAACAGGAUUAGAUACCCCGGUAGUC
Molecule: ribosomal RNA, 440 nt
Filed under: uncultured bacterium
Lineage: Bacteria
Description: partial 16S ribosomal RNA
Rfam family: Bacterial small subunit ribosomal RNA
Source: RNAcentral